RNAcentral lists this ribosomal RNA (406 nucleotides) under uncultured bacterium. RNAcentral describes it as "partial 16S ribosomal RNA". It matches the Rfam family "Bacterial small subunit ribosomal RNA", at positions 29 to 526 of the family's 1533-position model. The record is from RNAcentral.
AGUGAACGCUGGCGGUAGGCCUAACACAUGCAAGUCGAACGAGCGGCGGACGGGUGAGGAAUACAACGGAAUCUCCUCUGUCGUGGGGUAUAACGUAGGGACCCGUACGAUAAUACCGCAUUCGAUCGCAUGAGUCGAUGUCGGCUUAGCUUGUUGGCGGGGUAAAGGCAACCCAAGGCGACGACCCGUAGCUGGUCUGAUAGGAUGAUCGGCCACACUGGAACUGAGACACGGUCCAGACUCCUACGGGAGGCAGCAGUGGGGAAUAUUGGGCAAUGGGCGCAAGCCUGAUCCAGCCAUACCGCGUGGGUGAAGAAGGCCUUCGGGUUGUAAAGCCCUUUUGUUGGGAAAGCGGUACCCAAAGAAUAAGCACCGGCUAACUUCGUGCCAGCAGCCGCGGUAAUAC